ACGAACGCUGGCGGCGUGCUUAUCACCUGCAAGUCGAACGGAAAGGCCCUGCUUUUGUGGGGUGCUCGAGUGGCGAACGGGUGAGUAACACGUGAGUAACCUGCCCUUGACUUUGGGAUAACUUCAGGAAACUGGGGCUAAUACCGGAUAGGAGCUCCUGCUGCAUGGUGGGGGUUGGAAAGUUUCGGCGGUUGGGGAUGGACUCGCGGCUUAUCAGCUUGUUGGUGGGGUAGUGGCUUACCAAGGCUUUGACGGGUAGCCGGCCUGAGAGGGUGACCGGCCACAUUGGGACUGAGAUACGGCCCAGACUCCUACGGGAGGCAGCAGUGGGGAAUAUUGCACAAUGGGCGGAAGCCUGAUGCAGCAACGCCGCGUGCGGGAUGACGGCCUUCGGGUUGUAAACCGCUUUCGCCUGUGACGAAGCGUGAGUGGCGGUAAUGGGUAAAGAAGCACCGGCUAACUACGUG
RNAcentral lists this ribosomal RNA (467 nucleotides) under uncultured bacterium. RNAcentral describes it as "partial 16S ribosomal RNA". It matches the Rfam family "Bacterial small subunit ribosomal RNA", at positions 29 to 507 of the family's 1533-position model. The record is from RNAcentral.